RNAcentral lists this ribosomal RNA (501 nucleotides) under uncultured bacterium. RNAcentral's name for it is "bacterial SSU rRNA". It matches the Rfam family "Bacterial small subunit ribosomal RNA", at positions 15 to 507 of the family's 1533-position model. The record is from RNAcentral.
GAUCCUGGCUCAGGAUGAACGCUAGCUACAGGCUUAACACAUGCAAGUCGAGGGGCAGCGCAGUGUAGCAAUACAGUCGGGCGGCGACCGGCGCACGGGUGCGUAACGCGUAUCCAACCUUCCCGUUACUCAGGGAUAGCCUUCCGAAAGGGAGAUUAAUACCUGAUGGUGUUCAAAUUCCGCAUGUUAUUUGAACUAAAGAUUCAUCGGUAACGGAUGGGGAUGCGUGACAUUAGAUAGUAGGCGGGGUAACGGCCCACCUAGUCUACGAUGUCUAGGGGUUCUGAGAGGAAGGUCCCCCACACUGGAACUGAGACACGGUCCAGACUCCUACGGGAGGCAGCAGUGAGGAAUAUUGGUCAAUGGUCGGAAGACUGAACCAGCCAAGUAGCGUGAAGGAUGAAGGUUCUAUGGAUUGUAAACUUCUUUUAUACGGGAAUAAAACCUCCCACGUGUGGGAGCUUGUAUGUACCGUAUGAAUAAGCAUCGGCUAACUCCGUG